AAGAUCUUAAGUUAAAUUAAACUAUUAGCCUUCAAAGCUGAAAAUAAAACUCACGUUUUAGGCCUUA
This 67-nucleotide transfer RNA is filed under the name Turanogryllus eous. RNAcentral describes it as "tRNA-Trp". It matches the Rfam family "tRNA". Rfam says of the family: Transfer RNA (tRNA) molecules are approximately 80 nucleotides in length. The record is from RNAcentral. Lineage: Eukaryota; Metazoa; Arthropoda; Insecta; Orthoptera; Gryllidae.